This 764-nucleotide ribosomal RNA is filed under the name uncultured Glomeromycotina. Its description in RNAcentral is "SSU rRNA". It matches the Rfam family "Eukaryotic small subunit ribosomal RNA", at positions 336 to 1101 of the family's 1831-position model. Lineage: Eukaryota; Fungi; Glomeromycota. The record is from RNAcentral.
AGAGCCUACCAUGGUGGUAACGGGUAACGGGGUGUUAGGGCACGACACCGGAGAGGGAGCCUGAGAAACGGCUACCACAUCCAAGGAUGGCAGCAGGCGCGCAAAUUACCCAAUCCCAACACGGGGAGGUAGUGACAAUAAAUAACAAUACGGGGUUCUUUAGGAUCUCGUAAUUGGAAUGAGUACAAUUUAAAUCUCUUAACGAGGAACAAUUGGAGGGCAAGUCUGGUGCCAGCAGCCGCGGUAAUUCCAGCUCCAAUAGCGUAUAUUAAAGUUGUUGCAGUUAAAAAGCUCGUAGUUGAAUUUCGGGGUUAGUAGGUUGGUCAUGCCUCUGGUAUGUACUGGUCUCACUGAUUCCUCCUUCCUGAUGAUCCGUAAUGCCAUUAAUUUGGUGUUGCGGGGAAUUUGGACUGUUACUUUGAAAAAAUUAGAGUGUUUAAAGCAAGCUAACGCUUGAAUACAUUAGCAUGGAAUAAUGAAAUAGGACGUUCGAUCCUAUUUUGUUGGUUUCUAGGAUUGACGUAAUGAUUAAUAGGGAUAGUUGGGGGCAUUAGUAUUCAAUUGUCAGAGGUGAAAUUCUUGGAUUUAUUGAAGACUAACUACUGCGAAAGCAUUUGCCAAGGAUGUUUUCAUUAAUCAAGAACGAAAGUUAGGGGAUCGAAGACGAUCAGAUACCGUCGUAGUCUUAACCAUAAACUAUGCCGACUAGGGAUCGGAUGAUGUUAAUUUUUUAAUGACUCAUUCGGCGCCUUACGGGAAACCAA